This is a long non-coding RNA of Cyprinus carpio (common carp), 1186 nucleotides long. NCBI's taxonomy places the organism in Eukaryota, Metazoa, Chordata, Actinopteri, Cypriniformes, Cyprinidae. The record is from Ensembl.
CCCGAGUGGAGUGCCGUACAUCGUUUAUAAGAGGUGCCCCAGACUCUUAAAGAGGUUAUGGAAACUAAUCAAGGUCAUCUGGAGGAGGGGAAGGUGGCACAGUAGUGGCGACAUGCAGAGGGUGUCUGGAUCCCGAAGGAGGAGAGCUCAAGCACCAUCGAGCAGUUCAGAGUUAUCUCGCUCCUCAGUGUUGAGGGAAAAAUUUUCUUUAGUAUUCUUGCCCGACGCCUGACGGAGUUCCUUCAGAGGAACACGUACAUCGACACCUCAGUGCAGAAGGGCGGAGUCCCAAAGAUUCCAGGAUGCAUCGAGCAUACAGGAGUUGUCACCCAGCUGUUACGUGAGGCAUGUGAAGGCAAAGGGCAUCUGGCAGUCCUCUGGCUCGAUCUCGCUAACGCCUAUGAGUCAAUCCCACAUAGGCUGGUAGAAACCUCACUUGACCGUCAUCACGUUCCAGAUAAGAUCAAGAACCUCAUACUGGAUUAUUACAAUUCUUUCAGUUUGAGAGUCACCUCUGGAGCAGAAACAUCAGCAUUUCAUCGGCUUGAGAAGGGCAUUAUCACCGGAUGUACUAUUUCCGUGACAUUGUUUGCCUUGGCGAUGAAUAUGCUGGUUAAGUCAGCAGAGGUGGAGUGCAGAGGUCCACUCACCAAGUCAGGUAUACGGCAGCCCACCAUCAGAGCAUUCAUGGAUGAUUUGACGGUGACAACAACAUCGGUUCCGGAGUGCAGAUGGAUCCUCCAGGGGCUCGAGCAUCUCAUCAACUGGGCCCGGAUGGAUUUUAAACCAGCCAAGUCCAGGUCCCUGGUGUUGAAGAAAGGGAAGGUUACAGACCAGUUCCGCUUCUCACUUGGAGACAUUCAGAUACCAUCUGUCGGAGAAAAGCCAGUCAAGAGUCUGGGCAAGAUCUACGACUGCACCCUGAAAGACACCGCAUCACUCCAGACAACCACUAAACAGUUGGGAAUCUGGUUGACGGCUGUGGACAAGUCAGGUCUGCCAGGGAAAUAUAAAGCCUGGAUCUACCAGCAUGCCAUCCUGCCCUGACUGCUUUGGCCACUUCUUGUCUAUGACAUGCCAAUAACCACCGUUGAAUGCUUCGAGAGGAAAGUCAGCUGUUCCUUGCAGAAGUGGUUAGGCCUACCACGAAGCCUCAGUGAUAUCGCCUUGUACAGGAGGAAGAACA